GACGAACGCUGGCGGCGUGCCUAAUACAUGCCAGUAGAACGCUGAAGGAGGAGCUUGCUUCUCCGGAUGAGUUGCGAACGGGUGAGUAACGCGUAGGUAACCUGCCUGGUAGCGGGGGAUAACUAUUGGAAACGAUAGCUAAUACCGCAUAAGAGUAGAUGUUGCAUGACAUUUGCUUAAAAGGUGCAAUUGCAUCACUACCAGAUGGACCUGCGUUGUAUUAGCUAGUUGGUGAGGUAACGGCUCACCAAGGCGACGAUACAUAGCCGACCUGAGAGGGUGAUCGGCCACACUGGGACUGAGACACGGCCCAGACUCCUACGGGAGGCAGCAGUAGGGAAUCUUCGGCAAUGGACGGAAGUCUGACCGAGCAACGCCGCGUGAGUGAAGAAGGGUUUCGGAUCGUAAAGCUCUGUUGUAAGAGAAGAACGAGUGUGAGAGUGGAAAGUUCACACUGUGACGGUAUCUUACCAGAAAGGGACGGCUAACUACGUG
This 495-nucleotide ribosomal RNA is filed under the name uncultured bacterium. RNAcentral describes it as "partial 16S ribosomal RNA". It matches the Rfam family "Bacterial small subunit ribosomal RNA", at positions 28 to 507 of the family's 1533-position model. The record is from RNAcentral.